UCUUAUAACCAAACUACACUGAGCCUGCCUGACCUUACUUGAUUUCAGAAUCUAAGCAGGGUUGGGUCUGGUCAGUACUUGGAUGGGAGACCACCAAGAGAUACCAAGUGUUGUAAAUU
Ribosomal RNA from Astyanax mexicanus (Mexican tetra), 119 nucleotides. The record is from Ensembl. NCBI's taxonomy places the organism in Eukaryota, Metazoa, Chordata, Actinopteri, Characiformes, Acestrorhamphidae.